AGAGCAGUCCAGCUGUUGGGAAAGUGAUUUCCGAUUGGUAUGGAGGGCGUGGGGCUGCCGCUCUCUGAAGGGCACAGCUUUCCGGGGUGCUGUGCAGUCCAUGUCUCCUAUCCAGUAUGGGUUUACACCUGUGGGACAUGGGGAGAGGGACCAGGUUACUUCUCCUAGCUUUGGAAAUUUCUGCACGUUCAUCUGAUCAGAUUGUCUGCCAUUAAUGAGGAGCGUCUGAAUUUUACGAAGCUCUUUUGUUCCUGAAGAGUGCUUCCAGUGAGUAAUAAAUUUGCCCAGGGGCCGAAAUACAUCAUCACCCAAUUUUUUGCAAUGUGGGACUACAUGCUGUGAUCAUUAAUAAGACAUUCAAGGAGUAAGGAGAGAUUCAGAUUUUCAGUGGCACCAUGUCUUUAGAUGUAGGGGUCUGGUUUCAUCAAUUUCUACUGAAGUUCUCAUUUGCUGCCGCCUUGGACUGGGCUGUGCUGGUGAUGACACAUGGAGGAUCAGGUGGGCUGUCUUCUGUCUCUGAUG
This is a long non-coding RNA of Numida meleagris (helmeted guineafowl), 522 nucleotides long. RefSeq lists it as uncharacterized. The record is from RefSeq and is a predicted model, not a curated record. The transcript is spliced from 4 exons. NCBI's taxonomy places the organism in Eukaryota, Metazoa, Chordata, Aves, Galliformes, Numididae.